Molecule: long non-coding RNA, 3793 nt
Organism: Clupea harengus (Atlantic herring)
Lineage: Eukaryota; Metazoa; Chordata; Actinopteri; Clupeiformes; Clupeidae
Source: Ensembl
AGGGAUGAAUAUGUGUGGGGCCUGGGGGAGGGACACUGGAGAGGUGAGGGCCUGGGGGAGGGACAGUGGAGAGGGAGAGGGCCUGGGGGAGGGACAGUGGAGAGGGGGGGGCCUGGGGGAGGGACACUGGAGAGGGAGAGGGCCUGGGGGAGGGACACUGGAGAGGUGAGGGCCUGGGGGAGGGACACUGGAGAGGGUGAGGGCCUGGGGGAGGGACACUGGAGAGGGAGAGGGCCUGGGGGAGGGACACUGGAGAGGUGAGGGCCUUGGGGAGGGACAGUGGAGAGGGAGAGGGAUUUAGAAUAGCCAUCAGAUGGAUGAGGCAGAGGCGACCACAAGGUUUAGAUCAACUGCAAUUCAGACGUGGAUCUCUUGAGCAAGAAAUCCUUUUCUGCUAUUCAGGGUCCUUUUAUUUAGCUGUCAGAGGCAACGAGACGCACGCUACUCUCCCUCCCACAAACCAAUCGUUUUAUUUAUAUCCAUCAUAACAAUUAAUUAAUUAGUAGUUAUUUACUCAGAACUGUUAAUGCGUAAUUAAGACUAUGAAUGCUUCAUCAUUUCAGUGAUUACUAAAAAUCCAAGUGUUACCACAACUAUCUUACUAAUUAAUCUGUAUACUAUUAACUUCUUUUUCAGACGUUUUGGUGUAUCUAUAGCCUAGCACUGUCUGGUUCUUGUUUUGCAGAGGUAAAGGGCUUUCCAACCAUAAUGUGUCAUGGUUGCUGUGCAGAGGAUGACUAAUGUCGAUUACGAUCGUUUAUGUCGAUGAUAUUUUCAAAAAUCGUUUAUUUUAGUGCCAUGCAAUGAACGUAACAGUGUUCACACCAAUUAGUGCACUUCAGAAGUGCAGCACACUAGAAGAUUUAGUAAGGAGGAAAAAAAAGUCGCUGUUCUCCGAUGUUCCGGGAGAAACGUUUUGUGAAAUAUUUAUAUUUUGUUCGCUAGGAUAGGUUGUUUGAGGCACAGGUGUUUGCAACCCAUAAGCGCCAUACAGCUUUUAUCAGACGAAACGGAAAACCUGCAUGUUGAAACAGGAGUUUUCCUCUUCAGAUCUGGCUAUAGAGUUUGAGACUUGGUAGAUUUGUCGGGGUUUCUUUAGAGAGGAGGUGGCGGCGGCGAUGUUAUUUAUUCUUCUAUUACUAUCUCCACAGUUCCAGUUCAAUAUUUCCCUGUUACACCACAAAUCCUUGAUUUUGCCAUUCCCCCCCCCCCCCCCCAAGGGAUCUUUUUUUACACACUGACUGAAUUUGAAGCAGAUGUACUCAUUAAAACAACAUGUCUGCCCGUUUUCUAGGCAGGCAGGUUACAUUGGGGGUCACCUAGCGUUAGCAAGGGCAGGCAGGUUACAUUGGGGGUCACCUAGCGUUAGCAAGGGCAGGCAGGUUACAUUGGGGGUCACCUAGCGUUAGCAAGGGCAGAGAUGUAGCAUCAUGGGACCUCGUCACAGCUCCCAAUGUUUUUUUUUUUAAUGUUGUAGUUUUUGUUUUUGUUUUCACUUACAUGAAAAAUAAAUGUAAAGCCUUACAAAGAUGCUUUUUGUUAAAGCGUUCCGUUUAAAUGAAGGAAUGAAAAUGAAACUUGUUUUGUUUUAAGAUGAAGUUUUUGCCUAUUUUUUUGUUGCAUAUUUUUACAUUUAUUUUUCUAUAUUUUUGACACUGCUGGCUAAAUGCUACUAGUACACCAAUGGGAAUGGCUCUCCAUAGACUAUGCAGGUCACAAGAGUGGAAAGGGUUCUUCAGGGGCGAACAGAUUUAACUCACUGAAAAGUCCUGAGAAAACUGGAUUGUAGCUGUUCUGUUAAAUCAAUACUUACCAUGGCUUGUCUUAGACAAGGAUCACUCUCUGCUAAACCAUAUAUUGAAUUGUAGAAUUUUGACUGCAUUCAUCUUUAAGAUUUGUUCAGACUGCAAAAAUAGAGUAAACCGAAACUGACCUGGGUUGUGGUUUAGUCCAGCACAACUAUAAACUAUAAAGCCUUGUCCAGUGAUUCAGCUGCCAAUGUUUCAAUGAAGUGGACAACCUUUUUAGGUUAGGAGCUUAUCAAUGUGAUGUGUACAGAACAGCCAGUUGAGCAACACUGCCCCCUUGAGGACAAUGAGCAGACUACUGAGCAGAGUCCAUUUUCUUGAUCCUUAAACUGUACCAAAAUGUAGGUGGUCCAUCGCAUACUGGGACUGUUGAAGUAUGUAUAUAAAUGUUUGUACAGACAUUGAAUAGCCUUUAAGCCUAAUGGAUGAGCUUUGCCCAUAUAAAAGCUUGACAGAUUUUCAUUCAGAGUUUGUUUGUAAAUGCUGUGCUAGAAACAAAUAAAGUUCAUGUGUAUUUUUGCAAUAAAGUUGCUAUCCUCUGCUCCAGAUUUGAGCAGAAUUUAAAGACAGUCUCUUUUUUUCUCUCUCAGACUCAUUUUCAUCUGUUAAAACAAUCCAAACAUUGUUGUCACACUCAUGCUUUGUGUAUGACGUCCCCCCAGAGCCUCUUACUCAUCGUCACAUGCUGCCAGGGCCUCUUCCUCAUCGUCACAUGCUGCCAGGGUUCUCUUCCUCAUCGUCACAUGCUGCCAGUGGCUCAUUCCCAAGUGUUGGGUCGUAACCUCUGGUCCCUGUGGCUGUGGAACCGCACACAACUCCCAUUCAGCCACUGUGCCUCAAGAACACAACCAAUGGAUAAGACUCCAUGCCCAUUUGUGUUAAUGCCUAAGACUCCAUGCCCGUUUGUGUUAGUAACUGUAUCAGGGGAGGGCAGAAGGACUAAAGUAAACCGAGAGGUUUACAACCUUUUGCAACACUCCAUACAUUGCCGGAGGUUGUGUUGAUAUAUUCACCAUUCGCAUUCUUUUGCUUGUCCCCCAAACAUGGACUCCUGUCACUCAGUCACGAGCCCUCAAGACGCCUUUCUUUAGCUCCUGAAAGGCUGCUGUACGUGUGGGUCUUCACUGCAAUACUUUAAAACCCUUUAUUUUCCCAUCACCUCUCUGGAAAGGGCUAUGAACAGGUAAAGACCGUGUACUGACUGUAGUAACUAUAUGACUGUAGGCAGGCAAUUACAUUUUUACCAUAACAAAAUGUCCUUGGACCUUCUGCUAGCAACACCGAAGUCAUGGAUUACAUAUCUAGGGCGCACACACACUUCUAAAACGUUUACCUUUACUGUGUAUUGCUUUGGGUAAAAUAAUUUGCUGAAGAUAUAAAGCCAGGUGUAAGUAAACAAUAAGACCAAGACAUUGCCCACGGGGGGGAGAUGAGGUAGCAACCCUAUAACAAGUCAUGUUCCUGCAAUCAAAAAGCAAAUCGAAAAGCGCUCUCGGCCAAUCAGCAAUGGGGUCAAGGGGUUGGCAAUUCUGUGUUCAGCACAGACGGUAAAUCAAAAGAAACGCUCCAGACACAACAUGAAGAAGUGGGUCUCGUAAUCUACAACUCUAUCAAGUUGAUGGUUAGAGAGCGGCCAGAGAGGCUGGGACCCCCGGCCUGGCGUCGAGGUGAGACGAGGACGUUGUCUGCUCUGUUGUGCCUUUCUGGAAGUACUUUGGAGAAGAUAAUAAUAAUAAUAAUAAUCAUUCAAUCUUAUAUAGCGCUUCUCUAAAUACCCGAAGUCGCUUUACAGAGUCCAGUAGUCAUUCAUACACAGUCAUACCGGUGGCGGUAAGCUACAUCAGUAGCCACAGCUGCCCUGGGACAGACUGACAGAAGCGUGGCUGCCAAUCAGCGCCUACGGCCCCUCCGACCACCACCACCAACAUUCAUUCAUAAGAUGAAGGUUCGGGGAGAGGAGGAGGUGAUUGGGCGCUCAGCGGUGG